UUUUAAGUUUUUGUUGGAACCAUUUUUCUUCUCUUUUUGUUGCUACGGGAAUAGUAAUCAAAUAUGGGGUUGGAGAAGAUGAAGUCUUCCCACACCCCUUGAUUGCUCAGCACACCCUUGUGGGCCUCCAUCAUUUGGGCCUAGAGGUCUAUUUUUGUCUUUUUUCUUUUUUUAUUUAUUAUUUUCUUAUUAUUGAUUUAUCUUUGUUUUUUCUUUUAUUUCCUUUCAUUAUUUUUGUUACAUUUUUUAUUGCUUUAUUUUUUUUUAUUGUAUUUUUAGUUGAUGCAUAAUUGUUAAUCCAAAAAGACAAAAUGACUAUUAAAAUUAACAUUUCAAAAAUACUAAAAUCAAAGAUAAUUGAUCAACAUCAAGUAUAUUUUUCAAAAUCAUCCAAAUCCCUUUUCGUUUUAAACGCAAAUUCAAAACUUUGAUUCAACGUCGAGUAUUUUAUUAAAC
RNAcentral lists this long non-coding RNA (456 nucleotides) under Lathyrus oleraceus (garden pea). RNAcentral describes it as "Pisum sativum (pea) long non-coding RNA (PSAT_LNC017972)". Lineage: Eukaryota; Viridiplantae; Streptophyta; Magnoliopsida; Fabales; Fabaceae. The record is from RNAcentral.